AGAUCCAUACGAACAGCGAAGCGUUAUGUUGUACCUCUGAAAGGAAUACCAUGUUUAUGUCAAUUACACCUCAGCAAAAAGGGUGGAGUCACAGUCUGCGCCCCCAGGGCUGCUGUGAGGGUGGGAUGAGGUUUGUACCUUGGACCCUCGCCUGGCCUCCAGGUACGUCUGUUGGUUACCAGCCGGUCACUCUUCUGCUCUCUGGGGACCAGGGCACAGGCCAGGACCUUCGGUUCAGCUCCCAGGCGGCGGGCAGACCCGUGCGGCGGGAGGCAGUGGCCUCCAGGCGAAGUCUGGGACAAUACCGCCACCUGGUGGCUGCUCAGGUACAUCACAGCAGUUAUCUGCAGAAGAAUGUGAACGAUCCUGCUUUCUGGCCCUGGUUUGGGUGGAGAAGAAGCUGUGGUCACGCUGGGACGGGGCCUCCCCACCCCUCAGCUCAUCUUCGUGCUCACUUUUACCCACACGCAGCCAUCUUUCAACAAUGCAACCUGCUUCUGCUCGCUGGCACACCGGAGAAAACCCGGAGGAGCCGGGAUAUGGAGAUGGUUCUACCGUUUCCAUCUUGGAGACAAAUGCUCCUCUCGGCGGAGCUGGCUGCAGCACGUGACGGCUCCGCGACCCGCUCCCCACAAAGACGCACACGCCGCGCCGCGGUCCUCGGGACGGGACGCACGCCUGACCCCCAGCCCGACUCCAUGAUCUCACCGCUCUUUGGUCAGAGCUGGCACAGGUGCCCCCAGCGUGGAUUUCUUCCUUUUUGUUAGAAAAACAUCCCAAGUACUUUGAACCAGGCUGCCCAAUGGGCUCGGCUGACCACGCACAGCGGCGUGCGCCGGGCCUCUAAAUUAGAGGCUGCGACCCAUCUCCUCGCCCCUCCUGGUGGCUCGGCACAGCACAGCCCCUCCCCAAGCCCCCACCUUCUUUAAGCUGAGACACUGAGCAAAAAAUAAAGCACAGCUGAUGGUU
Long non-coding RNA from Eptesicus fuscus (big brown bat), 969 nucleotides. RefSeq lists it as uncharacterized. The record is from RefSeq and is a predicted model, not a curated record. Lineage: Eukaryota; Metazoa; Chordata; Mammalia; Chiroptera; Vespertilionidae. The transcript is spliced from 3 exons.